Molecule: long non-coding RNA, 2039 nt
Filed under: Macaca fascicularis (crab-eating macaque)
Lineage: Eukaryota; Metazoa; Chordata; Mammalia; Primates; Cercopithecidae
Description: lncRNA (ENSMFAG00000065826.1)
Source: RNAcentral
AACAACGAUUAUCAAGUUCCUGUACACUCUCAGAUGUGGAUGGUGACUCUGCUAGUAAUUCAAACUCAGCAUUUCAUGGAGGAUGGUUGUGCUCAUGAUGUUCUUUCUGGAGGUUCAACACUACAUACCGCACUUUAUAAUUUAACUGGAAUUGAGAUGAAGGCCAGUGACAUGACAACUGUGACCUAAGAAAUGGGAAGAUUAUCCUUCAAGAUAGCUGCCUAGAAUUGUUCAACAGUGAGUAACUUCCAAAAGCCAAAAGAGUUUGGCCUCAUGAGGCAAGGUGACUGACUCAAUGGCUUCUUGAAUCUCAGCAGCUCCGCCAUCUUGAAGAAUGAUUGAUUUUUCAAACACUGACCCAAGAACUGCUAUCAGGGUGCAAGUAUCUUACUAGUUAGCCUAAGGACGGGAAAAUAUCACUUCCUAAUAUGCCAUCUUUCAACAGUAUUUCCUACAGCUAAAGCCUCAGGCCAUUGCCUAAUUAACAAUGAAGAUUUCAUGGGCGUCCUACACUUCAGGAUUACUUGACUAUCCCAAACACAUAAAUCAAAAUGGGCUAAGUAGCAAAUCUUGAUGAAUUUCCACUCUUACCAUCCAUUCUUACUACAGACAAUAUAACUGAACAUGUGAUUAGAGUGACCUAUAUUAAUGUUUAGUUAUUUUUGGUUGAGUCCUAAAUAUUUCAGAAGGCUACUUAACAUGUAAGAUACCAACUUCAACACUGUAAUAACAUAUACUGUGAAAACAUUCCUAAAACAUAACCAAAGGGUUUACUAACUCUGCUUCAACAUCCAACAACACAAAACCGUAUGAUUUUUAAAAUCAUGAAACAGAGAAAGCAAAGCAUAUUUUUACAUCAAUUUGUAUCCUAUCAUACUUCAUAAUAUAUAUUUGUAUAUUCAAAUUGCUAUUUUAUAGGCCCAAGAUGUGUUUCUCUAAACAUUACAUUCUCAUUGCCAAGUGCCAACUGUUAGACAUGGAGAGGAAAUGAUUCCUUAUAUUAAACCUGACCAGAGGUUUUGCCUUGUAGGAAUUUAUUUUUCCCAUAGUGUGUCAGUUGUUAUCCCACAAUAACAACAAUAAUAAUGACCUUAAUGUCCAAGGUACUUUGUCAUUUACAGUCCUUUAACAUCUGUUAUACCAUGUGAUGCCCCUGAACGCCCCAUUGGGCUAUUGUCUGUGUAUUCUGCUAUCUCUUUAGCAGAUGAUCUGUAAUUUGGUCAUUGUUCUGUUAUAUUCCAGAUUGCUCUACUUGCCAAUAUUUGUAUAGAAUAGAAUUUAUGUAAACUAGUAACCAGUUGAUCUCUGUGCCAAAUACAUUAUAUCAGGAUUACACAAAAAUAUCACAAAGGAUGGUCUUGGCCAUAUGCUACGACCCCUGUGAAAAUAAGUAGUUUCGAGUAGUUUUUCUAUAUACAUAUAUAUACGUGUGAUUCUAUUUAGGCGGGGAAAGAUGAAAAAGCAGGGACAACAGGAGGAAAUGAAGGCAGAGAAAUAUAGUUUCCUGUCCUAGGGUGGAGACAAUUCUAUUUUUCAUAUACUCAUUGCUCAUUAAAUAUUAAAGGGUUGAUUUGCUGAGAGAGUAGCUGAGAGUUCAAAAACAUCCUUGCAGAAUGAUUCAAAAGACAAAAGCCAGGCUCAACUUACAGAGUGUUUUGGAGACUGGAAGUAAUGAUACAUUUCACUUCAGAAGCACUUGUAGGUAUUUACUAGUGCUAAGUAUUAUGGUGAGCUAUCAUUAAAAUGUGCCGUCUUGGAUAAAGGCCUUUUGCCUGCUGUCUUCUGCCAUUUUGAUACCUCAAUAUUCACACCCAUAAAAAUUACUAAGCCCCAGUUCUAUCCUCGGAAGGAGUUGUUAUUCUGUUGUUGUUCCCUUAUGCAAUUUUUAAUUCUAUGAAUGUUAAGUUUUUUUGAACUAAUGAUAGAUAGAAAUGCCUACUGAAAGAAAAAUAAACAGAGACAAAUGUUAAAAUUGCCAUACAGACUGUUUUUCCCCCUGUUGUUUCACCUUAAAAUAAAAAGAAAACCUUGAUUAAUCA